Molecule: unclassified non-coding RNA, 743 nt
Filed under: Hevea brasiliensis (rubber tree)
Lineage: Eukaryota; Viridiplantae; Streptophyta; Magnoliopsida; Malpighiales; Euphorbiaceae
Source: RNAcentral
GAAGGGUCGGAUUGUUUAUGCACUUGCUUCGUGGAAGCCUGAUUAUUAAGUGUCCUCCGUUCCAUAUUGAUAUGCAGGAUCAUAAGUUUCUAUUUGUGGUCUAUUUCCUGCCCUUGUGCAGUGAUGGUUUCUAUCAUGGAUUUCUGAUCAAUGAAUUUAAGAUAAAAGUUCUCUCUUCCUUGCCCUGCCAUUGGUAUUCUAGUUAUGGGCUUAUGAACUCGAAAUUGAUAACUGUUUUACAUACUUGCUGAGCAGGAAAUCUGGAGUGGAAUUUUGGCUGCUGCUAAUAUGAUGCAAUUACAAUGGCAAUUUUUUACUUGCAUGUAGCAACUGCAACUGUCAAUUCGACAAGGAGAAAGAUUCAUUUAAUGUCCAUGGCACCUGACCAAUCUUAUAUCUUGAGUGGGAAUCGUUUUAAAACUGUGAUGCUGGAAAAAGAAAAGAGAAGGGGAAAGGAAAAUGAUACCUGAUCACUAUUUCAAGGUUUCAAGAAAAGCAUAUCUAAACUAGUUAUUAUAUUUAGGUUAGCUGCAGUGUUUUAUAGGAUUUUAUAAUGAUUUGAGGAUCCUCUAAAUUAGAGCCUUAGCCUUGUAUGGGAUUUAAGCUGUCUCUAUAUAUAUUGCUCUCUAAAUAUGUAUUCUUUUUUUUAUCCUAUCAAUUUUAUCAAUGUUACCCUUAUCAGCGGCUUUCAUGCCUGUUGUGUUUUUGUUUUUUAAGCAGUCCCUAUAUAUAUUGCUUUCCAA